Molecule: ribosomal RNA, 268 nt
Filed under: uncultured bacterium
Lineage: Bacteria
Description: partial 16S ribosomal RNA
Rfam family: Bacterial small subunit ribosomal RNA
Source: RNAcentral
GUCCACGCUGUAAACGAUGAGCACUAGGUGUUGCGGGUAUUGACCACUGCAGUGCCGACGCUAACGCAUUAAGUGCUCCGCCUGGAGAGUACGGCCGCAAGGCUAAAACUCAAAGGAAUUGACGGGGGCCCCGCACAAGCGGUGGAGUAUGUGGUUUAAUUCGACGCAACGCGCAGAACCUUACCCGGGUUUGACAUCGAUGGAAUUCUCCAGAAAUAGAGAAGUACCCCUUCGGGGGACCUGAAGACAGGUGCUGCAUGGCUGUCGU